GGUUGUAUAGUGUAGUGGUUAUCACUCCAGAUUUUGAUUACAUCAAGAUUUCUGGUAACCCCGGUUCGAACCCGGGUACGACCU
Molecule: transfer RNA, 84 nt
Filed under: Colletotrichum navitas
Lineage: Eukaryota; Fungi; Ascomycota; Sordariomycetes; Glomerellales; Glomerellaceae
Description: tRNA-Gln
Rfam family: tRNA
About the family: Transfer RNA (tRNA) molecules are approximately 80 nucleotides in length. Their secondary structure includes four short double-helical elements and three loops (D, anti-codon, and T loops).
Source: RNAcentral